UAAAUACAGUGAUCGCUGAUAUGUAUAUCCUGGGGAUUGGCCCAGAGUUUCUACCGACUGCCGUAAGAGUUGACUACAUAGACAUUCGUUUGUUGU
RNAcentral lists this non-coding RNA (96 nucleotides) under Clostridium sp. RNAcentral describes it as "Guanine sequence". It matches the Rfam family "Purine riboswitch aptamer". Rfam says of the family: Riboswitches are metabolite binding domains within certain messenger RNAs that serve as precision sensors for their corresponding targets. Allosteric rearrangement of mRNA structure is mediated by ligand binding, and this results in modulation of gene expression. A class of riboswitches that selectively recognises guanine and becomes saturated at concentrations as low as 5 nM. RNAcentral also lists the same sequence under 1 other name. Lineage: Bacteria; Bacillati; Bacillota; Clostridia; Eubacteriales; Clostridiaceae. The record is from RNAcentral.